GGUUAAGCGACUAAGCGUACACGGUGGAUGCCCUGGCAGUCAGAGGCGAUGAAGGACGUGCUAAUCUGCGAUAAGCGUCGGUGAGGUGAUAUGAACCGUUAUAACCGGCGAUUUCCGAAUGGGGAAACCCAGUGUGUUUCGACACACUAUCAUUAACUGAAUCCAUAGGUUAAUGAGGCGAACCGGGGGAACUGAAACAUCUAAGUACCCCGAGGAAAAGAAAUCAACCGAGAUUCCCCCAGUAGCGGCGAGCGAACGGGGAGGAGCCCAGAGCCUGAAUCAGUGUGUGUGUUAGUGGAAGCGUCUGGAAAGGCGCGCGAUACAGGGUGACAGCCCCGUACACAAAAAUGCACAUAUUGUGAGCUCGAUGAGUAGGGCGGGACACGUGGUAUCCUGUCUGAAUAUGGGGGGACCAUCCUCCAAGGCUAAAUACUCCUGACUGACCGAUAGUGAACCAGUACCGUGAGGGAAAGGCGAAAAGAACCCCGGCGAGGGGAGUGAAAAAGAACCUGAAACCGUGUACGUACAAGCAGUGGGAGCCUCUUAAUGGGGUGACUGCGUACCUUUUGUAUAAUGGGUCAGCGACUUAUAUUCUGUAGCAAGGUUAACCGAAUAGGGGAGCCGAAGGGAAACCGAGUCUUAACUGGGCGUUAAGUUGCAGGGUAUAGACCCGAAACCCGGUGAUCUAGCCAUGGGCAGGUUGAAGGUUGGGUAACACUAACUGGAGGACCGAACCGACUAAUGUUGAAAAAUUAGCGGAUGACUUGUGGCUGGGGGUGAAAGGCCAAUCAAACCGGGAGAUAGCUGGUUCUCCCCGAAAGCUAUUUAGGUAGCGCCUCGUGAAUUCAUCUCCGGGGGUAGAGCACUGUUUCGGCAAGGGGGUCAUCCCGACUUACCAACCCGAUGCAAACUGCGAAUACCGGAGAAUGUUAUCACGGGAGACACACGGCGGGUGCUAACGUCCGUCGUGAAGAGGGAAACAACCCAGACCGCCAGCUAAGGUCCCAAAGUCAUGGUUAAGUGGGAAACGAUGUGGGAAGGCCCAGACAGCCAGGAUGUUGGCUUAGAAGCAGCCAUCAUUUAAAGAAAGCGUAAUAGCUCACUGGUCGAGUCGGCCUGCGCGGAAGAUGUAACGGGGCUAAACCAUGCACCGAAGCUGCGGCAGCGACGCUNNNNNNNNNNNNNNNNNNNNNNNNNNNNNNNNNNNNNNNNNNNNNNNNNNNNNNNNNNNNNNNNNNNNNNNNNNNNNNNNNNNNNNNNNNNNNACUUGCUCGUGGAGCUGAAAUCAGUCGAAGAUACCAGCUGGCUGCAACUGUUUAUUAAAAACACAGCACUGUGCAAACACGAAAGUGGACGUAUACGGUGUGACGCCUGCCCGGUGCCGGAAGGUUAAUUGAUGGGGUUAGCGGUAACGCGAAGCUCUUGAUCGAAGCCCCGGUAAACGGCGGCCGUAACUAUAACGGUCCUAAGGUAGCGAAAUUCCUUGUCGGGUAAGUUCCGACCUGCACGAAUGGCGUAAUGAUGGCCAGGCUGUCUCCACCCGAGACUCAGUGAAAUUGAACUCGCUGUGAAGAUGCAGUGUACCCGCGGCAAGACGGAAAGACCCCGUGAACCUUUACUAUAGCUUGACACUGAACAUUGAGCCUUGAUGUGUAGGAUAGGUGGGAGGCUUUGAAGUGUGGACGCCAGUCUGCAUGGAGCCGACCUUGAAAUACCACCCUUUAAUGUUUGAUGUUCUAACGUGGGCCCCUAAUCGGGGUUGCGGACAGUGUCUGGUGGGUAGUUUGACUGGGGCGGUCUCCUCCUAAAGAGUAACGGAGGAGCACGAAGGUUGGCUAAUCCUGGUCGGACAUCAGGAGGUUAGUGCAAUGGCAUAAGCCAGCUUGACUGCGAGCGUGACGGCGCGAGCAGGUGCGAAAGCAGGUCAUAGUGAUCCGGUGGUUCUGAAUGGAAGGGCCAUCGCUCAACGGAUAAAAGGUACUCCGGGGAUAACAGGCUGAUACCGCCCAAGAGUUCAUAUCGACGGCGGUGUUUGGCACCUCGAUGUCGGCUCAUCACAUCCUGGGGCUGAAGUAGGUCCCAAGGGUAUGGCUGUUCGCCAUUUAAAGUGGUACGCGAGCUGGGUUUAGAACGUCGUGAGACAGUUCGGUCCCUAUCUGCCGUGGGCGCUGGAGAACUGAGGGGGGCUGCUCCUAGUACGAGAGGACCGGAGUGGACGCAUCACUGGUGUUCGGGUUGUCAUGCCAAUGGCACUGCCCGGUAGCUAAAUGCGGAAGAGAUAAGUGCUGAAAGCAUCUAAGCACGAAACUUGCCCCGAGAUGAGUUCUCCCUGAGACUUAGAGUCUCCUGAAGGAACGUUGAAGACGACGACGUUGAUAGGCCGGGUGUGUAAGCGCAGCGAUGCGUUGAGCUAACCGGUACUAAUGAACCGUGAGGCUUAACCUU
Molecule: ribosomal RNA, 2445 nt
Filed under: Escherichia coli
Lineage: Bacteria; Pseudomonadati; Pseudomonadota; Gammaproteobacteria; Enterobacterales; Enterobacteriaceae
Description: 23S ribosomal RNA
Rfam family: Bacterial large subunit ribosomal RNA
Source: RNAcentral